CUACUAAUAAGCUAGUAAUUAACCCUUGUAUUCUUUUUCUGGUUUCAUCUUCCUGUUUUAAUGUGUAAGAUAUUCAGCAGUAAGCACUGGUCAGCCUGCCCUGGUGCACAGCUUGAGUGUGUUAAAUAACUGGCUGUUUAGCUGAUGCCAGCCAGCUGCGUGAAGGGGAGAAGGCCGCCUCCAAGGACACAGAUGUUUGCUGUUGACCUCACGCUGUGUCUGGUUGAGUUAUUCAUGAUUCAUCAGAAAAUGACAUGCAAGGUUUAUGGUAAAACUGCUGUACAAUCAGAAGUAUUUUAAGUAUGCAUUAGAAGUAAGAUAAAAUAGUAAUAAAAAUAGUUUCAGAUGUUAAGAUGAUACAAGAAUAAAUUUAACCUAGAAAAUAAAGGGAGAAGGAAUAAAAG
Molecule: long non-coding RNA, 404 nt
Filed under: Homo sapiens (human)
Lineage: Eukaryota; Metazoa; Chordata; Mammalia; Primates; Hominidae
Description: non-protein coding lnc-SMIM19-1:1
Source: RNAcentral